This 253-nucleotide ribosomal RNA is filed under the name uncultured bacterium. Its description in RNAcentral is "partial 16S ribosomal RNA". It matches the Rfam family "Bacterial small subunit ribosomal RNA", at positions 524 to 776 of the family's 1533-position model. The record is from RNAcentral.
UACAGAGGGUGCGAGCGUUAAUCGGAAUUACUGGGCGUAAAGCGUGCGUAGACGGUAAUGUAAGUCAGAUGUGAAAGCCCCGGGCUCAACCUGGGAACAGCGCUUGAGACUGGCACGCUCGAGUUCGGGAGAGGAUGGUGGAAUUCCCAGUGUAGAGGUGAAAUUCGUAGAUAUUGGGAAGAACACCGAUGGCGAAGGCAGCCAUCUGGACCGACACUGACGCUGAGGCGCGAAAGCGUGGGGAGCAAACAGG